CCCAGUCCCUCCCAGUCCCUCCCAGUCCCCCCCAGUCCCCCCCAGUGCCUCCCAGUCCCUCCCAGUCCCCCCCAGUUCCUCCCAGUCCCCCCCAGUCCCUCCCAGUACCCCCCAGUCCCCCCCAGUGCCUCCCAGUGCCUCCCAGUGCCUCCCAGUCCCCCCCAGUCCCUCCCAGUCCCUCCCAGUCCCUCCCAGUGCCUCCCAGUGCCUCCCAGUGCCCCUUCCCGGUUGGCCUGCAGUGUGGACGCCUGGCUGAGGUUGGAGGGAGCCUCGUCCAUCAGAACGUCCUCCUGAGACUCGUCCUCGGCCGAGCGGCUCACUGGGGACAGGGGGACACGGCCAGGGGUCAGCCUGAUGGCCAGGGGUCACCCUGAUGGUCAGGGGGUCACUCUGAUGGUCAGGGGUCAGCCUGAUGGCCAGGGGGUCACUCUGAUGGUCAGGGGUCAGCCUGAUGGUCAGGCGGUCACUCCGCUGCCCAGCGGUCACUCCGUUCCCCAGCGGUCACUCCGUUCCCCACUGGUCACUCCGUCCAUUCCCCACUGGUCACUCCGUUCCCCAGCGGUCACUCCAUUCCCCACUGGUCACUCCGCCCAUUCCCGCUGGUCACUCCAUUUCCCCACUGGUCCUCCGUAUUCCCCGCUGGUCACCCAUUCCCGCUGGUCACUCCGUUCCCCACUGGUCACUCCGCCAUUCCCACUGGUCACUCCAUUCCCCACUGGUCACUCCGUCCAUUCCCCACUGGUCACUCCGUUCCCCACUGGUCACUCCGUCCAUUCCCCACUGGUCACUCCAUUCCCCACUGGUCACUCCAUUCCCCGCUGGUCACUCCAUUCCCCACUGGUCACUCCGUCCAUUCCCCACUGGUCACUCCAUUCCCCGCUGGUCACUCCAUUCCCCACUGGUCACUCCAUUCCCCACUGGUCACCCCGGCCCAUUCCCCACUGGUCACUCCAUUCCCCGCUGGUCACUCCAUUCCCCGCUGGUCACUCUGCCGUCCCUCACCGAUGAUGGCGCUGUUGCCGUCGGCGCCGUCCCUCUCCAGCAGUUCAUCAAUGAGAUCCUCCAGCUCAUUCUCCACCUGGGGGGGGCACAGGGGGGUUUGGGGGCGCUGGGGGGCACUCGGGGGCACUCGGGGGUUUGGGGAGGGGUCCCUGACCUGCAUCUCCUGCGUGCUGAGCCCCUCGGGCUGCCCGGCCAGCACCACCGCGUCCCCCUCGGCCUCGCCGUCCAUGUCCCCGUCGGCCGCCUCGGCCUGCGCCGCCUCCGCCUCCUCCUCGGGGGCUCGGGGUCCCCGGGGUCCCCUGGGGGGGACAGGGGGGUCACGGGAGGUGUGGGGGGGACAGGGGGGUCCCCCUGCGCUGCCUCCGCGUCCUCCUCGGGGGGCUCAGGGGGGUCAUGGGGUGUGUGGGGACGGGGGGAUCACGAGGGGGUUCCCCCUGGGAGAAGGGGGCAGGUAAAGGACGGGUGGGAGAUGGGGGAAUUGAGGGGCAGUGGGGUGAACUGGGAGGGCUGGGGGUGACACUGGGGGGGUCCAGGGGGCUGUGGGUGACCCUGGGGGGACACUGGGUGACACUGGGGCUGUGGGUGUGACUGUGACCAUAGGGUGACACCAGGAGGCUGUGGGUGACCCUGGGGCUGUGGGUGACCCUGGGGCUGUGGGUGACCCUGGGGUUGUGGGUGUGGGUGACCGUGGGGCUGUGGGUGACCGUGGGGCUGUGGGUGACCCUGGGGCUGUGGCAAUGGGGGUGACCCGGGGCCGUGGGUGACCCGGGGGCUUUGUGGGGUGACCGUGGGGGCUGUGGCGGGUGACCCUGGGGCUGUGGCAAUGGGGUGACCCGGGCGUGGGUGACCGGGGCUGGGUGACCCCGGGGGCUGUGGGUGACCCUGGGGCUGUGGGAUGGGGUGGGGGUGACCGGGGGCCGUGGGUGACCCUGGGGCUGUGGGUGUGGGUGACCCUGGGGCGUGUGGGUGACCCUGGGGCUGUGGGUGACCCUGGGGCUGUGGCAAUGGGGUGACCCGGGGGCCGUGGGUGACCCUGGGGCUGUGGGUGUGGGUGACCGUGGGGCUGUGGGUGACCCGGGGGCUGUGGGUGACCCUGGGGCUGUGGCAAUGGGGUGACCCGGGGGCUGUGGGGUGACCCGGGGCUCCCGGGGGUACCUCCGUCGGGGGGCGCAGCCCCUGCCUCGCGGGCUCCCCCGUUGCCCUCGGCCUUGCUCUUGCUGGAGGAGCCCUUGGCCCCGAAGAGCCCGCUGGGCUGGUUCACGAUGCGCGACAGCGUCUCCAGCGGCUUCAGCGCCGCGUUCACCGUGUUGGCCAUGUUGGGGCUGGGGGGGCGGCGCUGGCACCCCAAACGGCACAGACCACCCCAAAGCCAGCAGGGAUCCCCCCAAACCCAGCAGGGACCUCCCCAAACCCAGCAGGGACCCCCAAAUCCAGCACAGACCCCUCCCCAAAAUCCAGCAGGGACCCAGAACCCAAGGGGAACCCCCA
Long non-coding RNA from Camarhynchus parvulus, 2490 nucleotides. The record is from Ensembl. NCBI's taxonomy places the organism in Eukaryota, Metazoa, Chordata, Aves, Passeriformes, Thraupidae.